GCUUUCCUCAUUGACAUAACCCACCCGCUGGUACGAGCCAAUACGGGCUAGUCAGUCGUUCARAGAGAAGCGAGAACGCUAAAUGAGGGCAAACAAGAAUCCUAGGGACCCCAUGCCCACAUCAUGUUCCGUAUCCAUGAUACCAAGCAAUACCCAAUGACCCACACCACCAACACAAAGCAUCAACGAUGUAGUUCAAAGAGACAGCUUCAAGGACCAUCUCAUGCCAUAUAAAUGACACAAGACGAGAGCCAAAUUGAUCGAUCGAGACAAUACCAUCACUUAGGUAUGCAGCACAGGAAACCCACAAUCUGCUUAGGCAGUACAAGCCUAAACAAGCAACUGAAGAGGUAUGUCAGGUGGAAGUUGUU
Molecule: unclassified non-coding RNA, 371 nt
Filed under: Jefea lantanifolia
Lineage: Eukaryota; Viridiplantae; Streptophyta; Magnoliopsida; Asterales; Asteraceae
Description: partial external transcribed spacer
Source: RNAcentral